GGCGGCGGCGGGCGGCGGAGCGCGGGGGCUGGUUCUCGGUCCCCGGGAGAAGCCAAGAAGCCUGCCAGAGCCGAGGUAGCUGCCCUGCCAAGAGCUAUCCUGGGAGAGCUAUUGAAAGAGCCUUGAAGCAGAUGGGCCUGGAGCUUCCCCACCUUCUGGUUUGCACUAGGUUGUGUGCUAAUAUGGCGAUGCGACCAGGGGACUUUGCACCUGCCAAGCAUGGCCGAGAACAUCCAUCUCCCUUGGACAUGUGAAUGCAAAGAAAGCAAGUGCUGUAAUCUGAAAUCCAGGCCAUUGUUUAAUGGCAGAAGGAAGACCCCAAAGAAAGGAGCUUUUUCCCACCCCAAACACUCGCUCCUUUGGUCUUGAAUUUGACCGUGUUCUUUUAUGGAAAACAACAACAAAACAAAACAAAAACACACAAAACUUUUUUUCUGAAUAGCUCAAAGUCAAGGUUUGCUGUUUGUUAUUUCCUUAAAAAAAGUCAAGAAAGAAAAGAAAAUUGGGUCCCUAGCCUGAAUGUUCUCCUAUGUGCCUAUUUAAUGAUUAAUAACACCUUGUGGGCUAUUGUUUGAUGUGGCCUCUGCUGGUUUGAACAGGAGAAUACUGAUUCACUCUCAAGGCAUUUAUGAAUCACAAGUGUUUACCCUGAGACAAUAAAUGAAAGGGGGAGAUUGAAAAAAAAACACCCAAAUAUGCUGAGUUCUUUGAGCAAAAACUGGAGGUAAUAGUCUUUGAUACCCUGUGUGGGGCCCACUGUUUUCUUUCACAGAAUAAAGAUCGUGGAGAAUGAC
Long non-coding RNA from Felis catus (domestic cat), 794 nucleotides. RefSeq lists it as uncharacterized. The record is from RefSeq and is a predicted model, not a curated record. The transcript is spliced from 3 exons. Lineage: Eukaryota; Metazoa; Chordata; Mammalia; Carnivora; Felidae.